AGGGGCGGCCGGGGGAUCGCCUUUGCGCCUUCGUCGGCGCGGGGGAGGAACUUCCGAACUCCUCAGGACACGGUGCCUGCCGAAAGGCAGGACGUGGGGCUCCAAAGGGCCCUGCGAUGGAAAGUGCAACAGAAAAAAUACCGCCCUCCCGCAAGGGGGGGUAAGGGUGAAAUGGCGUGGGUAAGAGCCCACCAGCCCGGGGGCGACCCCGGGGCUUGGCAAACCCCACCGGGAGCAAGGCAGUUGGGCGGCAGCGUGGUCCGCGCGUGCACCGGCUUCGGCCGGGGCGGCCGCCCGGUAGCCGCAUCAGAGAAAUGAUCCUCACCGGGCCUUUGGCCCGGACAGAAUUCGGGGUAUAGGCCGCCCCGUAUU
This 372-nucleotide RNase P RNA is filed under the name Elusimicrobiota bacterium. RNAcentral's name for it is "Elusimicrobia bacterium (groundwater metagenome) RNase P RNA component class A". It matches the Rfam family "Bacterial RNase P class A". From Rfam's summary of the family: Ribonuclease P (RNase P) is a ubiquitous endoribonuclease, found in archaea, bacteria and eukarya as well as chloroplasts and mitochondria. Its best characterised activity is the generation of mature 5'-ends of tRNAs by cleaving the 5'-leader elements of precursor-tRNAs. Lineage: Bacteria; Pseudomonadati; Elusimicrobiota. The record is from RNAcentral.